AUUGAACGCUGGCGGCAUGCUUUACACAUGCAAGUCGAACGGUAACAGGCCUUCGGGUGCUGACGAGUGGCGAACGGGUGAGUAAUGCAUCGGAACGUGCCCAAUCGUGGGGGAUAACGUAGCGAAAGUUACGCUAAUACCGCAUAAGCCCUGAGGGGGAAAGCAGGGGAUCGCAAGACCUUGCGCGAAUGGAGCGGCCGAUGUCAGAUUAGCUAGUUGGUGGGGUAAAGGCCUACCAAGGCGACGAUCUGUAGUGGGUCUGAGAGGAUGAUCCGCCACACUGGGACUGAGACACGGCCCAGACUCCUACGGGAGGCAGCAGUGGGGAAUUUUGGACAAUGGGCGCAAGCCUGAUCCAGCCAUGCCGCGUGCGGGACGAAGGCCUUCGGUU
This 391-nucleotide ribosomal RNA is filed under the name uncultured bacterium. Its description in RNAcentral is "bacterial SSU rRNA". It matches the Rfam family "Bacterial small subunit ribosomal RNA", at positions 30 to 423 of the family's 1533-position model. The record is from RNAcentral.